Molecule: ribosomal RNA, 397 nt
Filed under: uncultured bacterium
Lineage: Bacteria
Description: partial 16S ribosomal RNA
Rfam family: Bacterial small subunit ribosomal RNA
Source: RNAcentral
AUACGUAGGUGACAAGCGUUAUCCGGAUUUACUGGGCGUAAAGGGCGUGUAGGCGGUCUUGCAAGUCAGAAGUGAAAUUCCUGAGCUCAACUCGGGCGCUGCUUCUGAAACUGCAGGACUUGAGUGCUGGAGGGGAUAGCGGAAUUCCUAGUGGAGCGGUAAAAUGCGCAGAUAUUAGGAAGAACACCGGUGGCGAAGGCGGCUAUCUGGACAGUAACUGACGCUGAGGCGCGAAAGCGUGGGGAGCAAACAGGAUUAGAUACCCGGGUAGUCCACGCCGUAAACGAUGAAUACUAGGUGUAGGGGGUAUCGACUCCCUCUGUGCCGCAGUUAACACAAUAAGUAUUCCGCCUGGGGAGUACGGCCGCAAGGUUGAAACUCAAAUGAAUUGACGGGG